GCAUAAUAAAUAGUUUUUUAAUUGGAAACUGGAAUGAAUGGUUGAUACUAAAAGGGAUGUUUUAUUUUAUGAUUUUGAAUUUAAAUUAAAAUUAAAAAUGUUUUUAUAAACUCUUGGGACGAGAAGACCCUAGAAGCUUUUAGGUUUUAUCAACUUUUAAUUGGGGCAAUUUUUGAAGAGAAAAAUUUUUGAUACAAUAUAUAAUAUUUUUAAUAUAGUUACUCUAGGGUUAACAGCGUAAUUUAGUUGGUAAGUUCUUAUUGAUAAUUAGGUUUGCGACCUCGAUGUUGAAUUAAUU
This 298-nucleotide ribosomal RNA is filed under the name Goniosoma unicolor. RNAcentral describes it as "partial 16S ribosomal RNA". The record is from RNAcentral. Lineage: Eukaryota; Metazoa; Arthropoda; Arachnida; Opiliones; Gonyleptidae.